GGGCGCAAACCUGAUCCAGCCAUGCCGCGUGUGUGAAGAAGGUCUUCGGAUUGUAAAGCACUUUUGGCGGGGACGAUAAUGACGGUACCCGCAGAAUAAGCCCCGGCUAACUUCUUGCCAACAGCCGCGGUAAUACUAAGGGGGCUAGCGUUGCUCGGAAUGACUGGGCGUAAAGGGCGCGUAAGCCACUGGGCCUAACCAGGUGUGAAAUUCCUGGGCUCAACCUGGGUACUGCCUCUGAACUUACCUGCGCGCUAAAUUGUGGAAGAGGCUUGUGGAAUUUCCAGUGUAAAAGUGAAAUUCAAUUAUAUUGGAAAGAACACCGGUGGCAAAGGCGGCAACCUGGUCCUUUACUGACGCUGACGCCCUGAACCGUGGGGGACACUCAGGAUUAAAUACCCUGGUAGUCCACGCUGUUAACUAUGUUGGCUGGAUGUUGGGAAACUUAGUCAACUAGUUGUUGUUGGAUAACACGAUUUCACACCGCCUGCUAAGUACGGACGUUAGGCUCAUGGGAAAAGAA
This 523-nucleotide ribosomal RNA is filed under the name uncultured bacterium. Its description in RNAcentral is "bacterial SSU rRNA". It matches the Rfam family "Bacterial small subunit ribosomal RNA", at positions 373 to 908 of the family's 1533-position model. The record is from RNAcentral.